RNAcentral lists this ribosomal RNA (445 nucleotides) under uncultured bacterium. RNAcentral describes it as "bacterial SSU rRNA". It matches the Rfam family "Bacterial small subunit ribosomal RNA", at positions 217 to 662 of the family's 1533-position model. The record is from RNAcentral.
GGUAUGGGAUGAGCUUGCGUCCGAUUAGCUAGUUGGCGGGGCAACGGCCCACCAAGGCGACGAUCGGUAGCCGGCCUGAGAGGGUGAUCGGCCACAUUGGGACUGAGAUACGGCUCAGACUCCUACGGGAGGCAGCAGUAGGGAAUAUUGCACAAUGGGGGAAACCCUGAUGCAGCAACGCCACGUGUGGGAAGAAGCAUUUCGGUGUGUAAACCACUGUCGUGAGGGAAUAAGGCGUCUUCUCGGAGACGUUGAAUGUACCUCGAAAGGAAGCACCGGCAAACUUCGUGCCAGCAGCCGCGGUAAUACGAGGGGUGCAAGCGUUGUUCGGAAUCACUGGGCGUAAAGGGAGCGUAGGCGGAGAUGCAAGCGGACUGUACAAUACCGGGGCCCAACCCCGGGCCUGCAGUUCGGACUGCACCUCUUGGAUAGUUCAGGGGCAGGC